GAUGAAGAACGUAGCGAAAUGCGAUAAGUAAUGUGAAUUGCAGAAUUCAGUGAAUCAUCGAAUCUUUGAACGCACAUUGCGCCCGCCAGUAUUCUGGCGGGCAUGCCUGUCCGAGCGUCAUUUCAACCCUCGAACCCCUCCGGGGGGUCGGCGUUGGGGAUCGGCCCCUCACCGGGCCGCCCCCGAAAUCCAGUGGCGGUCUCGCCGCAGCCUCUCCUGCGCAGUAGUUUGCACACUCGCACCGGGAGCGCGGCGCGGCCACAGCCGUAAAACACCCCAAACUCUGAAAUGUUGACCUCGGAUCAGGCAGGAAUACCCGCUGAACUUAAGCAUAUCAAUAAGCGGAGGA
This 349-nucleotide unclassified non-coding RNA is filed under the name soil metagenome. RNAcentral describes it as "partial contains 5.8S ribosomal RNA, internal transcribed spacer 2, and large subunit ribosomal RNA". The stretch from base 1 to 120 matches the Rfam family "5.8S ribosomal RNA", at positions 35 to 154 of the family's 154-position model. The record is from RNAcentral.